Long non-coding RNA from Heterocephalus glaber (naked mole-rat), 7016 nucleotides. NCBI's taxonomy places the organism in Eukaryota, Metazoa, Chordata, Mammalia, Rodentia, Bathyergidae. The record is from Ensembl.
UCUCACAUUUUUCUUCCAAGACGGGCUCGGGCAUAAACAGUCCGGACGGUGGGCAUCCGGGCUCCGGGGUCCUGACGGCUCUAUCCGGUGUUUGUCAUUUCCCCGGAGACGGCUGCGGGUGGGCCGAGCUUUGGCACAGACAUUCGUGUGUCCCAGGGGCGGCCAGGACGAGUGGGGCCAGAGGGCGGUGUCUAUCCAGCUGGCCACGUGAUGGUGCCCUGUCCACAGUGUGGCCCGGGCGGCACAGCCGGCUGUGUUUGGCUCCACAGGAAGUUCAUGGCGUGGAGGUGGGGGUGUCAGGUGAGGGCAGCUCUGUCCACAGCCUCUCGACACUUCUGCUCGAAGGAGCCUUCUCCCGGCUGAGGUGACCUCCAGUGGCCUUUGUCUCCUCGGUAGGGGCAGGGAAGGGCCACCCGGCGUCCAGCCCACCCCAGCUGCCCUGAGGGUGACCCUCGCUCUGCCUCGAGGGGGUGGCCCCCAUCACACCGUCCAGGUGGGUGACAGGGUGGCUGCAGCGAGGCCCUGGACACAUGCUGUCCUCAUCAGCACCCAGACACUCCGUGUCCAUGGCCACUGGGGUGUCCUCUGAGGAGCCCACGCUGAGGGGGUGACUGGGUGACCUCACCUUGCCGGGAGGCGGCAGGGCCCAGAAUAAUACAUUAUGAGGAGCAGAAGAGAAAUGGUGCCAUGGAGUGGCCCUGAAGUUGGGUCACCUCUGUGAGCUCUGAUCCCGGGAGGACCAGCGGCCCCUGCCCGAGACACAGUCUCCACCCUGUCCUUUCCAAGGGCCAUCUACCCGGCCAAGAGGCCAAGGAAGCCGAGGCAGGCAGGCCCAAGGAGACUGAGCUGUGGCGUGGGGCUUUGGGAGGCCAGCCCAUCUGGUUUGUGUUAUGUUUAUAAGGACGAUGGCAAAUAAGGGUCUUAGAGCUAAUUUAGUUAUUUAGGGAAAGACGACUCGAUGCUGGAGUCAGUGGAGCUGCCUGGCGGGAGGAGGGGCAGUGCCAAGGCUCUGGGGCAAAGAUGGAGAUCUUUUCAAAAAUAGCCCUGCGAGCAGCACGCAGGGCCUCCAGCUGCAGGGCUCUCAGGCCCCUCCUCCCGCCCGGCCUCCUCCACUCUCACGCCAAUCCUGACCCAUCCUCCCGCCCUGGGAUGUUGGUUCCCACCAUGGUUUGGGAAUGCAGGUAGCACACAAGCAAGAACACAGGGGGACACACGGCGACCCCUCUCCAAGCCCAGGCCAGGGCUCCUAAGGCACCGAAGCUCUCUGGAUCCCAGAGGAGCCUGGAUAUCCGCGUUCCUGCAUCUCAGCGCUGUAUGUCUGCUGUCAGCAGCAGGACCCAUCCGUGCUCCAAAGCCAGGGACCUGACCCAGUUCCCAGGGGCCAGGAAUGACGUCAGGGUGACUUCCGGGCUGCAGCCCAUGGCACAGGCUCCUCCCUCAGGCCGAGGGCUUUCAGCUCUCAGCAGAGGCCGGCUGCCCUUGGCCUGUUUUUAAGGAAAGAGCUCAAGCUUCUGCAUGAAACUAAGAUGGGUUCAAAUCCUAGCUCCCUUUCCCCAGGCGUGAGAGCCUGAGAGGGCACCUGGAACCAAGAUGGGGACGGAACAAGGAGGCCUGACGUGUGGUGGUCACAGGGCCGGGCACCGGGGGAGGGAGCCCCACCCCACCGCUGGAGAGAGGCGGAGGGCGGCCGGCCUUGUCCACGGGGUCAGCGAGGGCAGGGAGUCACCUCAGCUGUGGGGCUGUGUGAUGUUCGCCUCAGCACACAGGAGAGGCCUCUCCGGCCCUCUCUUCUCUAACCCCCUCUCCUCUGUCACCAUCCUUGGGGUUCAGCAUGGCUGAAUCAUCCAUAUUGAUUUUGAUCCAAACGGCAGGAUCUACUGGAUGAAGACUCCAUCCCCUCGCCCCACGGUCCCCAUGGGGGACGCCCCGCACGCUCCUCAGGGAGGGCAGCCACUCAGCCUGAGGCUCCAGUCCCACCACGCUGCUCCUCCAGAGCCCGAGCGGGCGCUGCACAGUCAGAACCCUUUUCACCAGCGCUGUCACGAGGGCCCAGAGGGAAGGAAAAGCCCUAACCCCUCGCCCAGGCCUGCGGCACUAGUUUUCAACUCUUCAGGAAGCCAGCUUGCCAGAGUUGGGGAGAUUUCGGAGAAACACAUCAGCCCCACCCAGAACCAAGUGGUGGGAGACCUGGAGGGUCAGGGCAUUUGUGCCCCGACGGGGACCUGAAGCCCGGUGGACACUGGGAACCACUGUCCACUCGACCUUGCUGCCAUCCGCUGCUUCUGUUCUCUCAGCCGCUGGCUCUGUGUGGAUCCUGACCAGCAGCUGCUGCCUCCCCGAGAACUUGUCAGAAAAGCAGACUCUCAGGCCCAGCUGCCCCUGUGGAGCCCUAAGUCUGGGGUGGGCCCGGCCAUCUCCGGGCCUCGCUGGUGGUUCUGCUGCAGGCUAACAUCUUCCUGCCGACUGUGACACACACGCGCUUGCUCCAGCCUCUGCGCUCGCUCCUCAGGUCCCAGCUGAGCAGUUGCUCUUGGGCACCCCUAGCCCUCUCCUGCUGGCCAGCUCAGGUGCCGGGGAGUCGGCAUCUUGAAGCUUUGCCUGGGCUGGAUGGAGAAGCUCCAGUCUUCGCCUUCACCUUGGACGCCACCUCCUGGCUUCCAGUGCAGGCUCUUCAGCUUCCAGCGUAGACCAUCGGCCUCCUGAUACUGACUUGCACGGGACACUGCAGUGAGCUCCAGACCUUCCACUGAAUCAUCGGUUCAACUUUAGCUGAGUGAAUCUGAGGGAGGUUCUCAGGAGAUAAGGCAACCUUAACACAAUUCUUUGCUUUCUACUUAACUUACCAUUUAUCAUUGCAACAUUAACCAUAAUUCACCUCCUCCGACUCUGUGGAUGGCCACUGUAAGCCAAUCUUGUAAAUUCUUAUAUAUAUAUAUAUCUUCAAUUAUAUCUAUUUCUCUACUAAACACUGACUGAUACAGAUUUUGGUACCAGGAGUGCCUCUAGAGAAGCCGUUGUAAAGAGGAAAUUAUUUAGUGGCUUUAAGGGUUCCUGAAGUCAGCUCUCUACUUUGAUGAGGCCUAAAGAUGCCAUGGUCUUUCCUUCUAAUUCGGUGUAGAAUACUGAUAAUCGUGGCGUGAACUGUCUAAAAUAACAUGCAAGGUAGAUCCAUUUGAUUAUCCUAAUUCACCACUUGUGAGAUAGAUAUAAGAAAUUCAGUGACUACAUACUUGCAAGUUUUGAAUAUUUUUGGCAGAGUGGGAAAUGUAAUGGUUCUGUCUGGUUGGUCUUAGCAUCUCUGGACAAACCAGUGAAGGAAAACAGGAGCUCAAAGCAUCCAUGGGAAAUCUAGAGUCUGCUGACUGUGAGAACAAAUUAACAAAGGAAAAUAAGGAGGUCUAGGUUUCAAAUCCCAGCUCCAGACACAUAAGAAAUCUAAAAGUUUCUUAGUGUAUCCUGAAAGAAAAUGUCCUCGCUUUCAGCCGCAGGGGCAAGAUUGUAGAAAGCCAAACACAGGCCCUCCUAAUUUGAUUGGCUGAAAUACAGCCUAAGUUUAAUGCCCAGCCUCGAAGGGGACCUGAUUGGAGAAGAAUGGGAUCCCAUAAACUGGGAUGGAGACGUCUGGGAGGGCCCUGGGAGGCUGGGGAUGUUGAGCUCCAAGGCUCCAGUGAGAUUGUUUGGCCAGAGGAAGGGAUUUCCCCACCCGAAAUGGCAGAGGCUUCUCCACCCCACCCCCUGUGGUCUGGUCCCUCCUAGUAGCCUGAGGACACUGAUCCUGUGCUGACCAAGCGUGAUGAUGCUGACACUCCCCAGGACCCAGCCUCACUACCCACUUUUGCCUCUAGGUCCAUAGCCAGGCUCCAAUUGCAGAAGGCUCCUAAGGGUGAGGCACACAGUGUGACCCAUGAGGAGUCCACUGUUCUCCCAGAGAACUUGUCGAGUUUUCUAACUCUUACAAGCAGAGGCCUGGUGAGCACGUGUGGGAAUGGAUCUUCUGGUGUGGGAUGAUGGUGGCCGAAAUAUACACCUGGAUCAGGCCGAGUUUGUUGCUAUGGGCCCAUUAAGCAGGGAUUCUGAAUUUAAUGCUGCAGCUCGUGGAGUAAAGAAAAGGGUUAAUAGUUUAUUUGGCUGGUCAGCAGAAGUAUGGGUCAAAUGAUGGCCCACUGUGAGUGAGUUAGAGAUGCCUGAUAUUCCAUGAUUUACUGUUUAUGAAGGGAUUCAGAGGCUCAGGGAAAUGGGAAUGCAGGCGUGGAUCUGUCAUGUUAAACCUAAUCCUCCACACUGGGAAAUCCAGGAAACGUACCCUUCACUAACACCUUGAGAAACAGAUUGGUGAGGGGAGCACAGCACCCUGAAGAGCCCGGUCACUGGUCUUCUCUAUGCCAGACCUUACAGUGGGAACCUCGGUUACUCAGCUGAGAAAUUUAAGGGCACUGGGCUUGAUUGGAUCCCAGAGUGGCAGAGGCCAAGUGGCAGCACUUCAUCACCAAAGGCAGGGUGCAAACACUUACCAUAAUGGACAGCAGAAGCAGAACAAUGACCAGAAUAAUCUGACACAUCUAGACCUAUGGCGUUGGCUGAUCAGCUAUGGUGUUCCCAGAAGUGAAAUAGAUGGGAAGCCUACAAAAUUUUUAAUAGAUUUAUAUAAUCAAAAAAAGGUAAGGGGAAAUGAACAGAAAGCUACUUUAAAUCGUGGUAACAGGUAAUCACAGCCCCUCCGCCAGUUCCCAGAUUUGAGGCAGUUUAUAGACCCAGAACCCCUUGAAUGAAGGGGAGGUUGGGUUCCCUUGAGGAAGGACGCUGAUGCACCAAAAACGUAGCCAGUCUUUCUCCCCUCCUGCCCCAGGGGACCUAAGGCCUUUUGCCUGAGUGACUGUACGCUGGGGGAAGGGAAAUGAUCAGACAUUUUAGGGACUACUGGACACUGGUUCUGAACUAACACUGAUUCCAGGGGAUCCAAAAUGUCACUGUGGCCCUCCAGUAAGAGUCGAGCUAUGGAGGUCAGGUGAUCAAUGGAGUUUUAGCAAAGGCCCCUUCCUUGCUUGCAUUGCUACCUUCUGCCCAUCAUGAGGUGUUUCUCCUCUGCAAUGCCUUUCUGCCAUGGCACCUUGCCUUGGAGCCAGCUGAUUUUGGACUUAAAAGUCUACAAAACUCUGAGCUAAAUAAACCUUUCCCCUUUUAACUUUGGGAGUCGGGUAUUUUGUCUCAGCAACAAGAGAAAGGUAACUGAGACAUGGAGUGUGGUGAUCAAUUAACUGUGUCAGCAUGAGCACAGGUGUGGCAGGCUUGGAGUCCCCAGCAAUCUGCAUCCAGGUAACCCUUUUCUGUCCACCCUGGAAGCCUCCAUCCUUGUCUGUUUCUGUGUCCCAGGCUGCAGCAGGCUUGAGUCAUUUACUUUCUUUACAGUCUUAGCAAGAAAAAAAUCCAGGUUUGCUGCCAUUUUUUGGGGGGGUGUACCGGGGAUUGAACUUGGGUCCUCGUGCUUGUGAGGCAGGCGGCGGAACCUCUGAGCUAAAUCCCCAGCCCCAUGCUGCCAUUUUUGAUAAAAUCCAAGGGACCGAAAUUCCCGAGGACAACUGUAAGGGAGCGAUGUAACUCUCUGUCCCAGGAAGUCUCCUCCAUUCUAGCCCUGUGAUGUCCAUCCAGCUUGUCUCUUUCACCCGGCUUUGAAGUCCAAGUGACUUCUGUUUCUAAUUCUUUCUUUCCUUUAGAGAAAAACCUGUUUGGGUCUGGCUGGAAAAGGAAUAUAUCUUCGUGAGAGAAGGUCGGUAAAAUGCUAAAGAAAAAGGCCCAGGAAUGAAAUAAAAAUCACCCUAAAUCCCACCACCCAGGAAUAACUAAGCUUUAAUACUGUGGCUGCAUCUUCUAGGCACUGUCCACCCGCUGUGACCCGUGUGACACAUUGCCUGACGCCACGCCUGUAAACCCCAAGACAAGCUUGGGCUCCUCCAGGAGGCCCAGGGUGUGACACUGACAGGCCGCAGUCGCCGUGGUGACUGGGCUGGUGGGGCGAUGUGUCCUCCUUCCUUCACCCACUCCCAUGUCCAGACACUGCUUCCUCCUCAGCCGCUCUGGAAGCUCGCGGGCUGUUGGGACAGUAGCCCUCACCCCAGUCUGAGAGUAAAGGGUCCCUAAGGAGGCGGAGAAGCUCCGAGGGUGCUGGGGGACCUUACAGCCAUCCGAGAAAGGGCAGGAUGGAGUGAGGGACUUUGUUGGAGGGAGGUGCCUGGACUUUGAUCUAUAGGUUGUGUCCCCACAGUGUAGACCCCCUGUGACUCCUCCUAAGUCAUAGUUAUCAAGGUCAAGGUCUGUUCAUUUCAUGUCUAGGUGAACAAAAAGGCUUUGUAGAUUCACAAUGCAAGUGUGCCCUCGCCCUAGGAGUUCAGGCACAGUUGGAUCUGGGUAUCUGAAUGCGGGGUAGGAACCCACCUCUCUCCCUACCCCAUUCCGCCUUUUUCUUUGUUGGUUUGGUCACAGGGAGUGCUGCCUCUCACUCUGGGCCCGGUCUCCUGACUGUGGGCAUGGCCAGGGGCAUCUCUGAACCACUGAGGUGACUUGGUUUGCCUGGGCCCAGAUCCUUGUUCACCAAGGUAACAUCCACCCCCAGUCUGGUGGCCCGGGGGGCAGUUCCCAGGAGGACUCUGCACAGAUCCAGGAAGCAGGUACCCCAGAUCUCCUGAACCACCGCGCCUUUCCUGUUACCAGUCAGCAGGGACUUGGCCGUCAGACUUGGCCUCUUGCAGGCAGGGCUGCUCAGCCCAGGUGGGGCCUGGGUCCUCAGGCAGAAGUGAGGACUCUCGAGCCCAGGAGCUGAGUGAGGAGCCACUGUGUGCUGGCUUUGUGGACACGCUGUGCCAACUCACCAUCCUCUCCCGGCCUGCCCAUCACAGCAGGAUGCUCGAGCAGAUUCCCAGCCUUCUGGGCCAGGCUCUGGCUUCCGUGUGGGAGGACAGACCAUCCUGCUGGCCCACAGCUAUGUCUGCGUGGGCCCCGAGCCCGGCCUUUGCACCUGACCC